CCCUUAGAUGUUCGGGGCCGCACGCGCGCUACACUGAAGGAAUCAGCACGUCUUUCUCCUUGUCCGAAAGGACUGGGUAACCCGCUGAACCUCCUUCGUGCUAGGGAUUGGGGCUUGUAAUUCUUCCCCAUGAACGAGGAAUUCCCAGUAAGCGCGAGUCAUAAGCUCGCGUUGAUUACGUCCCCGCCCUUUGUACACACCGCCCGUCGCUACUACCGAUUGGAUGGUUUAGUGAGAUCCUCGGAUUGGUCCCGGCGCGGCCUCUGGUCGUGCCGGAGUGCCGAAAAGAAUGUCGAACUUGAUCAUCUAGAGGAAGUAAAAGUCGUAACA
Molecule: ribosomal RNA, 330 nt
Filed under: uncultured eukaryote
Lineage: Eukaryota
Description: partial 18S ribosomal RNA
Rfam family: Eukaryotic small subunit ribosomal RNA
Source: RNAcentral